UUAAACACUGGUUCCCGUACGGUCACCGAAGUUAAGCAAUCUCGAGCCUGAUCAGUAUCUAGGUGGGUGACCGCUUGGGAAUACCAGGUGCUGUAAG
Molecule: non-coding RNA, 97 nt
Organism: Acanthosepion pharaonis
Lineage: Eukaryota; Metazoa; Mollusca; Cephalopoda; Sepiida; Sepiidae
Source: the annotation of a GenBank genome assembly